This 445-nucleotide ribosomal RNA is filed under the name uncultured bacterium. RNAcentral describes it as "partial 16S ribosomal RNA". It matches the Rfam family "Bacterial small subunit ribosomal RNA", at positions 354 to 796 of the family's 1533-position model. The record is from RNAcentral.
GUGAGGAAUAUUGGUCAAUGGGCGAGAGCCUGAACCAGCCAAGUCGCGUGAAGGAAGAAGGAUCUAUGGUUCGUAAACUUCUUUUGCAGGGGAAUAAAGUGCGGGACGUGUCCUGUUUUGUAUGUACCCUGAGAAUAAGGAUCGGCUAACUCCGUGCCAGCAGCCGCGGUAAUACGGAGGAUCCGAGCGUUAUCCGGAUUUAUUGGGUUUAAAGGGUGCGUAGGUGGUUUGAUAAGUCAGCGGUGAAAGUUUGCAGCUUAACUGUAAAAAUGCCGUUGAAACUGUCGGACUUGAGUGUAAAUGAGGUAGGCGGAAUGCGUGGUGUAGCGGUGAAAUGCAUAGAUAUCACGCAGAACUCCGAUUGCGAAGGCAGCUUACUAAGCUACAACUGACACUGAAGCACGAAAGCGUGGGGAGCAAACAGGAUUAGAAACCCUUGUAGUCC